GAUGAACGCUGGCGGCGUGCCUAAUACAUGCAAGUCGAGCGAACAGACGAGGAGCUUGCUCCUCUGACGUUAGCGGCGGACGGGUGAGUAACACGUGGAUAACCUACCUAUAAGACUGGGAUAACUACGGGAAACCGGAGCUAAUACCGGAUAAUAUAUUGAACCGCAUGGAUCAAUAGUGAAAGACGGUUUUGCUGUCACAUAUAGAUGGAUCCGCGCUGCAUUAGCUAGUUGGUAAGGUAACGGCUUACCAAGGCAACGAUGCGUAGCCGACCUGAGAGGGUGAUCGGCCACACUGGAACUGAGACACGGUCCAGACUCCUACGGGAGGCAGCAGUGGGGAAUCUUCGACAAUGGGCGAAAGCCUGACGGAGCAACGCCGCGUGGGUGAUGAAGGUCUUCGGAUCGUAAAACUCUGUUAUUAGGAAAGAACAAAUGUAUAUUUAACUAUGCACGUCUUGACGGUACCUAAUCAGAAAGCCACGGCUAACUACGUG
This 497-nucleotide ribosomal RNA is filed under the name uncultured bacterium. RNAcentral's name for it is "partial 16S ribosomal RNA". It matches the Rfam family "Bacterial small subunit ribosomal RNA", at positions 28 to 507 of the family's 1533-position model. The record is from RNAcentral.